Long non-coding RNA from Cucumis melo (muskmelon), 1014 nucleotides. RefSeq lists it as uncharacterized. The record is from RefSeq and is a predicted model, not a curated record. The transcript is spliced from 3 exons. NCBI's taxonomy places the organism in Eukaryota, Viridiplantae, Streptophyta, Magnoliopsida, Cucurbitales, Cucurbitaceae.
UAAUUUUAAUUUUAAUUUUUUAUUUUAUAAAAAAAUGACUUUCUCUCUCUUACUUUACUCUUUCUCAAUCACCCACACGAUUUCAUCCUUCCAAUUUCUUCUUCACUCCUCAUUCUCAUCUAACAAUCUUCCCUUUCUUCUCUGAAGAGUCUCUGGCACCACCACCACCAUCGUCCCUCGUGCCCAGCUCGUGCCCGCCACCACCGCCGUCACUCCUCACUUUCUUCAAACACUGAUGUUGCUUUGGGGUUUUUUUCUUUGGGGUUGUCGACGAAAAGAAUGCUGUGAGCAUCAAACAUGUUUGUUAAUUUUCAGAUUCUUUUCAUGGGUUGUCUUGGUCCAUGGACGAGAGAUCGUUGAAAGAUGCGUUUUCUUCCUUUGGCGAGGUUACUGAAGGUAAUCGUGCAUGUUGAGCUUAACCCUUUGAUUUACCAGUUGUAUUCUACGUGUUCGACGAAAUGUCUAGUUGAUUUCAGACCUCAGUUCAUCACGUGUGCUUCUGGGUCGAAACAUUUUGCUUCCUUGACUUUCAUAAUUCCAAGGUUUUUCUUUCUAAAACUAAAUUUUGUUUCAUUGAAGUUUCUUCUUUUAUAAUUCUUGUAACGAGAGAGAAAAUGAGUUUGAGAUGUUUAGGAUUUAGGAGCGUUUUGUUUCGUAGCGUUUUACUAUGUUUUUGUGAUUUUCUUGGAAUAUUGAGACAAACCAAACAAUGAGAAAUAUAGAGAUUGAAAUAAUAACGAAUUUGAGAGGUGGGAAACUAGAAUUUAUAUAUGAGGUAAAAGGAAUUUGAUGUCCAUUGGUAAUCACUCUGGAACUUCACCAACAAAAUAGCUUUUGGGGAUGAAGUUCAUUUGAUAAGUUUAGAUGAAAUUGCAUGACCAUUUUGAAACUUCUGUGGUGAUCACUAGUCUAUAGAAACAUUAAUGUCCUGUAUGUUGCUUUGUUUGGUUUACUUGGUGACUUUAAUUUGUUUUGUUAAUUUGGAUGGAGUUAAUUGUUGUAAUGUUUAUAAGA